UCAAAAAGUUACAAUAGGAGAUAACUGUUUUUCAAUAAAGGCUGUCUCCUGAAAUAACUGCAGCUGGAUUAUUACAGAAGAGAGAAGCUGAAAGUGGAGAUGGAUUCAGUACUGUGCAAGGAAUUAAGAAGGUCUGGACCCCUCAGUUUGGGAAGGAUGUUGAGAAGCUUGAGUGUGUCCAGAGGCAACGAGGCUGGUGAGGGGUUUGGAACACAGACCCUGUGAGGAACGGCUGAGGGAGCUGGGGGUGUUUAGCCUGGAGAAAAGGAGGCUCAGAGGAAUCACUGUGAAAAGCCUGGCUUGGCCCCUUGAUAAUCUCUCUGUAGGCAAAGAAUUGCUGACCCCUACGACUGGCCUCUACAUCUGCUCUUGCAUGAAAGGCUCUGUACAAAACCCAAGUGUUGGGUGAUGGGACUGGAGGAAGAAGAGUACCCUUCUGGAUGCCUUUGCUUUUGUGACAUUCAUCUUCUAAAUGUUCUUUCCUAUAUUCUUUCCUGAGAUCAUUGGUAUGAUUUUAGUUAUCAUUGUGUUGUUCAUAAUAAAAUAGCCUCAGAUCAAUGCCUCCCUUUUGGUUUAAAAAGUUCACCUCUGAAUACCUUGAAAGCCUGUCGUGAUUUUGCUGAGUUAGUAAGAGAUAAAACUGUUUUCUGGGAGCUGUAGUGCUGCAUUGCUUGCCCAUCUCCUUAAAGGUUAUUUAACAGAUAAUCUCUAUUGAUUUGAAACAUAAAGCCAUGGGUAACCCUGGGAUAAAUUAAUAGCUGACACAGAAAUAAAGCAUUUAAUCAGCCUCCAAAGCUAUUAGGGUGCUGCAUUAUACAACAAAUUUUGUUAUCCUGUAGCAAGUCAUAAAAAGAGUAGAAAAAGUACUGAAUGUCCUUUUGUGAGGUGGUAUCAGUGUGUUGAGGUAACCACAGUGUUUUGAGCUCUCUGCUCAGUGACUCAGUUGUUCAGUACCUGCUAUGUUUGUUUUACCGAUGUUUUCCAGACACUCCAGACCCAAAUCAGAGCUUUAAGUAUGAAAGUACUAUCAGAGGCUGGACAUUUUGACAUCUGUUAACCCCAGCUUAGCCCAGUGAUAUAUUUGUCCUUUCACUGUGAUGAAUUGAGUGGGGUUUUUUUGGGUUCCCCUCAUAUCAAGGCCAUUUGGGCUUCCCUGCCAUCAAUCUCACUGUGUUCUCUAACUGUUAAGUUAUUGUUUCCACAGUAUCUGAAUUCCUCUUCUGAUUUACAAAAAGUUUAAGAACUGACUUAGACUGUGCUGGCAUCGUCCCAUUUCAAAAGAAAAGGGAAUAGGGCUGACUGUACGGGUCAGCUUGUGCUGCUGGGUGAAGAUCCUUGGCUAACACAGAACAGAAAGUCUGAGGUCACUCUUCAGCACCGGAUUUUUACCCCUCCAGACCCA
Passer domesticus (house sparrow) is the source of this 1402-nucleotide long non-coding RNA. RefSeq lists it as uncharacterized. The record is from RefSeq and is a predicted model, not a curated record. The transcript has 4 exons. Lineage: Eukaryota; Metazoa; Chordata; Aves; Passeriformes; Passeridae.